This is a long non-coding RNA of Caretta caretta (loggerhead turtle), 3502 nucleotides long. RefSeq lists it as uncharacterized. The record is from RefSeq and is a predicted model, not a curated record. Lineage: Eukaryota; Metazoa; Chordata; Testudines; Cheloniidae.
UCCAGUUCCGCUGGGGGGCAGCGAGGGGGGUCCCGCCCCCUGGCCGGCAGGCGGCAGCGAGCCUUGCGCCUCGCUCCAGCGAGCAUCGCCGGCUCCUCCACCAAGUGCACGAACGCCGCAGGAAAGCCAGCCAAUCACAGCCAGUGUUUUAAAUAAAGCCUCUUACGACAUUAUUCGUUCUCCUCUCUAGCUUGGUGUGUUGUUUGCUUUUUUUUUUUUUUUUUUUUAAUCGGACCCUUUUUGGGGGAGGCGCUCCGUCCCCCCCCUCUCCCCCAGCCUCCGGCGGAGCGGGGAGGGUCCCCACGGGCCGGCGGGGCGGCGACGCACGCCCCGCGGAGCCGGCUCCCUGCAAGAAGGUAGGAAGCGGCGCAGAGGCGAGAGCCAAUCGCGGAGAAAAGCCCGAAUAGCGGCCCGUGUCGCUUUACAGCGACAAAUAGUGUCCGCGGCUGUCACAUGGCCCCUUGAAGGAGGCGCGGAGCCCUGCCGUUGCUGUCUGUGCCGCUCCGCAGAUCGGGCCCUACUUUUACUCGCGACUUACAACCAGGGGGAGGAGGACUCCAGGGCACUUGGGUGAGUUUGGUUUUGUUUUUAAUACUGUAAACGUGGGACGGGGGAGCUGGGAUGGCUCAUAUGUACAGAGUGAAUAUUACAUAUUUUCAGAAACCGCCUCCUCUGGGCUGUCAACAACAACAAAAUCAAUAGCCUGAAAACAAGCAUUUAAAACUUUAUGCAACACCUCUGGGGAAAGAAUGAGUGAAAACAGGAAUUUAAUAAAGUGGCUUUUUUGGGGGGGGGAGUGGGCUAACAAAUUCUUACAGCAAUAAAAUGUAGAUGAAGUAAUUAAACAAAAUGGGCCAAAUCCUGCUGCCUUGCCUUAGCAAAGCUGGUGGUCCCACUGAUUUCACUCGGACUAUUGGUGUGAGUAAAGGAAGGAGCAGUUGACCCAUUGUGUUACUGGUGGAAGCAAAAAAAAAAAAAAAAAAAAGCUUUUUCAAUAGUUAUCCAUAGUUACUGCGAAUACCAGUUCAAAAAUGGUGGUGGAAGUGCCCCUUAUCCUGGGGACAUAUAUAAUGCCAUGAUGUUAGAUACGUUAUUCCAAGUCAAUUACAAUGGUAUUAUUUAAUACAAACUAUAGACAUUUUGUUAAUAAACAAGCCGUAGUGUCCAAACCCUGUAAUUCUAUUCGAGGCAAAGAGAAUGUCAGGAGAGCCUAAUGCUGCGAACAAUCAGCCAAGGAUGCUGCCCUUGAGAUAAUAUGGGCUCUACGUUCAGAGGGUUCAAAAGUUUAUGGUAAAGGCUCGGGUACCGGUAACCUUCCUCACGUGCGAUAAAAUUCACCCCUGCGCUGACCGCCAGCACAAGCCCUGGGCAGUUACUGAAGUGCCAUUCCAGCCCUCAAAAUAGUGGCACUCGGUUGCUGCGAUAGGCUUUGUGUUUCCACCUCUGCACGGUGGUGAACGUCACCGCCGAAUAGGCCCCUUGCAGCUGCUUGCGUAAGUAAGAAUGACUCACACGAGUUAGAGUAGCAGGAUCAGCUCCCAGUUUCUGAGGUUCUUCCGGUAUGUUUCUGGUUGCGGGAGAGCCAGUUGCAGGCUUGGGCAGCAGCUCUAAUUUAGCUAAAGAGGAAAAUCAGCUGUCUGGUCAUUUUACUCACGGGAAUAAAGUGAUCAGAGUCUGGAUUAAAGUUAGGGAAACUGUGCCCGAAUGGGGAGGAGGGCGGGAGGGAGAGGAGAAUUGAAAAAGAAGGUAAGUGACCUCCUAAAAGCCCCAUAGUUUCCCCAAAAGCUUAAUAGAAAAGCUUCCACUUGCGUCAGAGAGCAUAAAUAGGCCCCCAAAGGACAACUAGUGUGAAAAUAAUAUUUAUGGGCAACACCUACCUGUGUAUCAAAUAGGCUUUAAUCCAUUGUCAAAUAAAUGUUGGGAUACUGUGGGUCAAACCCGCUGUGUAAAUCUGCAACUCUCCACUGACUCCAGGGGCAUUAUGGUGCCUUACACCAGCUGAGAAUGUGGUCCUAUGUGAUACACCUGUGCCGGUCAGGUUUUUGCUCCAGGGGCCCUGGGGGGACAAAACCGCUCACCUUUUGCUCUUUUCUUUCUCGCGGUCUGUGGGAGCGAUUUUCCUAGCGAUGCGUCUGCAUAACCUCCGUCGAAUGUCUCGGCUACUUCAGAAAACACGCCGCGCUGCUAAACAUGAAGACGGCGACUUCGCAAUGAAGUUACACUAGCCGCGAAGAUGUUUAGAUACUGGGCACUUUGUAGAAAUGUGUAGCCAAAGUGUAGCUUUGGGCUAGAUAUAGCGGUGCACGGCCAGGCGGAACACCCUUGCUGCAAUCCCACGCCUAUUACCCCUCCUCCCGCCUCCCAGUCUGUAGAGUCGACACUGCAGGAUCUCAAUGAAACCUUCCACUCGCUGAGCCGUGGUUUAGACCUGGAGACAUGGUGUCCGCUUUUCAGCGUGAACAUCCUGCUUUCCCCACAGUCCCUCGCACACUUCUCGAUGGUCCCGGGUGACUUGGGGAGUGCUCAGAGCGGGUGAGGUGCUCCAUCGGAGUAGCCCGGGUAUGGGUCCCCAGAAUGGAAGUAGGAGUACAUUCUGCCAUCACCUGCCUACUCUGAAAAAUGGGGAGAGCUUGAAUUAGGUCUAUUGAUGUUUAAUUGUGAUGUCAACUAGGGGAAGUUAAAAUUGGUGGACACGAUUAUCACUGCACACAUUUCUUGCUGCUGCUCCCAUGGAAGUCAAGGGCAAAAUUUCCAGAAUGGAGUCUAGAGAGCAAAUACUGGUUUUAGAGAGGUUGCUAAGGAAGGUCGGGAGAGGGAUCCUCUCUUUCCCCAGAGUUCAAAUGAAAGUAAAUAAUGCCUUUUAAAAAUCUCCAUUAAUCUGUCCCCAAAGGGAGGAGAAUAAUCUGUUUUAGGCCUUUGGUUGGUGAAGAGCCCCUUAGUGUUUACAAGAGAUUUAUUUUGUAGAUGGCAGGGAUGUGAACAGCAGCAAUCCAAAUAAGGGGCCAAAUCCUGCCUUCUAAUUUGCCCAGCUAAUACCAGAGAGACCAGUGGGGUUACCCAUGUGAGUAAAUUGAACAGGAUUUGCCCCAGAUUUGUUAGAAACAUAAAUAAAACGCGAAGAGCAAAUCUGCAUGGAAAAUAGUUUAACAUUCACCCCUUGCAGAGGAGCUGCAUGCGGCCUUCAAGUACACUUAUUCCUCGUGGGCUACCCUUAGACACAGGAUUCUUGCUAGCCCUCUUCAUGGGGUGAAUUUCAUUCUGUAAUGAGCAGUUGACACAGUAUGUCUGAUUUGAUCAAGGUCAUUCAAAGUCAGAGAACAGAAAGAAAUUACUUUUAUCGUGAGUUUUUGCCUCUUAGUGUAUUACCAGCUCUGUUCUAUUGCUACCAAAAUUUCAACCCUACAAAGAUAAGAGUCUCUCUCUCUCUCUCUCUUUCUCUCUCUAUCUCUCUCUCUCUCUCUUUUUGACCACACAGAUCCAAAAUAAAAAAUAUAAAAAAUUG